CCAGACUCCUACGGGAGGCAGCAGUGGGGGAUAUUGCACAAUGGGGGAAACCCUGAUGCAGCGACGCCGCGUGAGUGAAGAAGUAUUUCGGUAUGUAAAGCUCUAUCAGCGGGGAAGAAGAUGACAGUACCCGAAUAAGAAGCCCCGGCUAACUACGUGCCAGCAGCCGCGGUAAUACGUAGGGGGCAAGCGUUAUCCGGAUUUACUGGGUGUAAAGGGAGCGUAGACGGCUGAGCAAGUCUGAAGUGAAAGCCCGGGGCCCAACCCCGGGACUGCUUUGGAAACUGCACAGCUGGAGUACAGGAGGGGCAGGCGGAAUUCCUGGUGUAGCGGUGAAAUGCGUAGAUAUCGCGCAGAACUCCGAUUGCGAAGGCAGCAUGCCGGCUCCACACUGACGCUGAGGCACGAAAGCGUGGGUAUCGAACAGGAUUAGAUACCCGAGUAUCC
RNAcentral lists this ribosomal RNA (447 nucleotides) under uncultured bacterium. RNAcentral's name for it is "bacterial SSU rRNA". It matches the Rfam family "Bacterial small subunit ribosomal RNA", at positions 331 to 795 of the family's 1533-position model. The record is from RNAcentral.